AAAAAAGGUAAGCUACUAAGAGCGAAUGGUGGAUGCCUUGACUGGUAAAGGCGAUGAAGGACGUACUAGACUGCGAUAAGCUACGGGGAGCUGUCAAGAAGCUUUGAUCCGUAGAUUUCCGAAUGGGGCAACCCAAUGUAUAGAGAUAUACAUUACCUAUAUAGGAGCGAACGAGGGGAAUUGAAACAUCUUAGUACCCUCAGGAAAAGAAAUCAAUAGAGAUUGCGUCAGUAGCGGCGAGCGAAAGCGUAAGAGGGCAAACCCAGUGCUUGCACUGGGGGUUGUAGGACUGCAAUGUGCAAGAGGUGAGUUUAGCAGAACAUUCUGGAAAGUAUAGCCAUAGAGGGUGAUAGUCCCGUAUGCGAAAAACAAACCUUAGCUAGCAGUAUCCUGAGUAGGGCGGGACACGAGAAAUCCUGUCUGAAGCUGGGUCGACCACGAUCCAACCCUAAAUACUAAUACCAGAUCGAUAGUGCACAAGUACCGUGAGGGAAAGGUGAAAAGAACUGAGGUGAUCAGAGUGAAAUAGAACCUGAAACCAUUUGCUUACAAUCAUUCAGAGCACUAUGUAGCAAUACAGUGUGAUGGACUGCCUUUUGCAUAAUGAGCCUGCGAGUUGUGGUGUCUGGCAAGGUUAAGCAAACGCGAAGCCGUAGCGAAAGCGAGUCUGAAUAGGGCGCUUAGUCAGAUGCUGCAGACCCGAAACGAAGUGAUCUAUCCAUGAGCAAGUUGAAGCUAGUGUAAGAACUAGUGGAGGACUGAACCCAUAGGCGUUGAAAAGCCCCGGGAUGACUUGUGGAUAGGGGUGAAAGGCCAAUCAAACUUCGUGAUAGCUGGUUCUCUCCGAAAUAUAUUUAGGUAUAGCGUUGUGUCGUAAUAUAAGGGGGUAGAGCACUGAAUGGGCUAGGGCAUACACCAAUGUACCAAACCCUAUCAAACUCCGAAUACCUUAUAUGUAAUCACAGCAGUCAGGCGGCGAGUGAUAAAAUCCGUCGUCAAGAGGGAAACAACCCAGACUACCAGCUAAGGUCCCUAAAUCUUACUUAAGUGGAAAACGAUGUGAAGUUACUUAAACAACCAGGAGGUUGGCUUAGAAGCAGCCAUCCUUUAAAGAAAGCGUAAUAGCUCACUGGUCUAGUGAUUUUGCGCGGAAAAUAUAACGGGGCUAAAGUAAGUACCGAAGCUGUAGACUUG
RNAcentral lists this ribosomal RNA (1194 nucleotides) under Campylobacter coli. RNAcentral describes it as "bacterial LSU rRNA". It matches the Rfam family "Bacterial large subunit ribosomal RNA", at positions 1 to 1210 of the family's 2925-position model. Lineage: Bacteria; Pseudomonadati; Campylobacterota; Epsilonproteobacteria; Campylobacterales; Campylobacteraceae. The record is from RNAcentral.